Thalassophryne amazonica is the source of this 293-nucleotide long non-coding RNA. RefSeq lists it as uncharacterized. NCBI's taxonomy places the organism in Eukaryota, Metazoa, Chordata, Actinopteri, Batrachoidiformes, Batrachoididae. The record is from RefSeq and is a predicted model, not a curated record. The transcript is spliced from 2 exons.
CAUUGUGAGAGAAACCAUUUAAUACAUUAUCAACCUUUUAAUAUUGUUUGGUAAAUUCCAUAUUCCUAAAUGAAGAGUAUUGAAAAGGAUUUUACACAGACUUCUGGCUGAAUUUGAACAAUAUACAGUUCAUUAUUCAGCUUAUAGUCUCUCCCAAAUGUCCUAAAACUGUCACUCUCUAGAACAAAUUUUUGAGAGAUUUAAUGUUAAUGAAUCCCUUUACUUUGGUUAUUGUACAAUUUAUUUGAUUUUUUUAUCUCUUUCUAUUUAUAAUGAUAAUACUGUGAAUGUUA